CCUUUGGAGAACUAUAUCAAAUUAAAGUAGCGAGAAAGUGGCAAAAUAAGGUUCGGUGAAAAAGGAA
Small RNA from Epulopiscium sp. Nele67-Bin004, 67 nucleotides. It matches the Rfam family "RAGATH-18 RNA". Rfam says of the family: Actinobacteria, Firmicutes, Fusobacteria, Thermotogae (1 example). Lineage: Bacteria; Bacillati; Bacillota; Clostridia; Lachnospirales; Lachnospiraceae. The record is from Rfam.